UCCUACGGGGCGCAGCAGUGGGGAAUAUUGCACAAUGGGCGGAAGCCUGAACCAGCCAAGUCGCGUGAGGGAAUAAGGCCCUACGGGUCGUAAACCUCUUUUGCCGGGGAGCAAGGGCCGGGACGCGUCCCGGCCCGGAGAGUACCCGGAGAAAAAGCAUCGGCUAACUCCGUGCCAGCAGCCGCGGUAAUACGGAGGAUGCGAGCGUUAUCCGGAUUUAUUGGGUUUAAAGGGGGCGUAGGCGGGGUUUUAAGUCAGCGGUAAAAAUUCGGGGCUCAAACCCGUCCGGCCGUGGAAACUGGGGG
RNAcentral lists this ribosomal RNA (305 nucleotides) under uncultured bacterium. Its description in RNAcentral is "bacterial SSU rRNA". It matches the Rfam family "Bacterial small subunit ribosomal RNA", at positions 337 to 639 of the family's 1533-position model. The record is from RNAcentral.